GCCUAGCUGGCUAAGUCGGUAGAGCAGGAGACUCUUGAUCUCAGGGUAUGAGUUCAAGCCCCAUAUUGGGCA
This 72-nucleotide transfer RNA is filed under the name Canis lupus familiaris (dog). It matches the Rfam family "tRNA". From Rfam's summary of the family: Transfer RNA (tRNA) molecules are approximately 80 nucleotides in length. Their secondary structure includes four short double-helical elements and three loops (D, anti-codon, and T loops). RNAcentral also lists the same sequence under 3 other names. The record is from Rfam by way of RNAcentral. Lineage: Eukaryota; Metazoa; Chordata; Mammalia; Carnivora; Canidae.